Molecule: ribosomal RNA, 376 nt
Filed under: uncultured bacterium
Lineage: Bacteria
Description: bacterial SSU rRNA
Rfam family: Bacterial small subunit ribosomal RNA
Source: RNAcentral
UACAGAGACUACGAACGUUACUCGGAUUCACUGGGCGUAAAGGGUGCGCAGGCGGUUGGGUGUGUUAGAUGUGAAAUACCGGAGCUUAACUCCGGGGCUGCGUCUAAAACUAUCCGACUAGAGUUUUGGAGGGGUAAGCGGAAUUCCAGGAGUAGCAGUGAAAUGCGUAGAUAUCUGGAGGAACACCAAUGGCGAAGGCAGCUUACUGGACAAAAACUGACGCUCAUGCACGAAAGCGUGGGGAGCAAAAAGGAUUAGAUACCCUUGUAGUCCACGCUGUAAACGUUGCACACUAGGCUUUGGGACGCUCGACCGUCUCAGGGCUCAAGCUAACGCGUUAAGUGUGCCGCCUGAGGACUACGAUCGCAAGAUUAAA